This is a non-coding RNA of Prunus avium (sweet cherry), 1207 nucleotides long. Lineage: Eukaryota; Viridiplantae; Streptophyta; Magnoliopsida; Rosales; Rosaceae. The record is from RefSeq and is a predicted model, not a curated record.
CCUUUGUGAAAAUUUCAGAUUCCCCCUUCUCACGAAAAAUUUCCCUCUUCUCUCUCUCUCAGUACCCACAGACGACAGUGACUGAGAGCUCCCAUCUUCUCACCUUCAAACUCCCUAUCUUCUCUCUCGCGAUACCCCCAUUCACCCUAAACCCUCUCUCACUAUACCCAAUCACCGACACUCUCUCAUCACUCUCUCAUCCAGUCACAGAUAGUCACUCUGCCUGCCUCCUCUUCGUUUUGAGAUCUGUGCUCUUCGGUCGUCUCCUUCCUUCCUCUCGACGCUUCUUCUUCAGCUAGGGUUCGUAACUCCGAUCCUUUACCGAGACUGGGUAAGGGCACCGCAAUAACCUUCAACAACUCAUUUGGAGGUCAGUUGAAGUCCAAAUUUUGCAUUCCCUUUGGAGCUCACGCAGCUGCCUUUGGUGGAGUCUCUUAUCUCUGCCUGGAUAUGGAUAAAUCUUGGAUGCAUGAAGAUAGAAGAAGCAAAGAGAAUGAAGAUGGGGUUGAAGAAUUUCUAAGGAUAGCAUUAGCAAAUGCUAUUGAUCAUAGGCGCAUUCAUUGUCCAUGCCAGAGAUGUGGGAAUAGAAGAAAGUUUACUAUUAGAGUAAUAAGGGGGACAACGAGAGGGAGUGUGUCUCGAAGGUAAUGUUGGAACAACGAGAUUCUUUGAUAAUGGAGACAAGAAAGAUGAUGGAAGAACAACAAAAAAGGCAUGAAGCUGCACAACAAGCUCUUCAAAACCAAAUUGAGAUGCUAAAGGUGGUGAUUAACACUCAAGUUCCUAAUAACACAUCUCUCCAAUCCCCAAAUAUGCAUCAAUCUCCCAUCUUAUCCGAGAAAGCAUCAACAAACAUAGAGAGAAAACUUGAGGAGGGUGAAAAAGAAAUUUGUGGUGAAGAAGGUUGUGAGGAUGUGGUGGAGCAAACUGAAAGUGAGUUUAUGAAGUAUAGAGCUAGAAGGAAGGACACGUACACCCAAAUGGAAUUGGAUGAGGUGCGAGAAGAAUUGGCAAGUCAUGUCCUAGAAUGGCUGUUUGAUUAAGCUAAACAUUCCUUCAUUUUACAUGUCUUUCUAGCUAGUAUUUUGCUUAUGCAUAGACAAGUAUGGAUAAUUUGUGGUGUAGGGCUGGUAAAUUUGUGAUUUGGAUGUGACAAGUAUGGAUCAUUCAAGUAUUUUGCUUAUAUAUAUAUAGACAAUUAUGGAUA